ACUGGGUGUGGUGGUGCAUACCUGUAGUCCUGGCUACUUGGGAGGCUGAGGUAGGAGGAUUGCUUGAGUUCAGGCAUUUUGGGCUGUAGUAUGUUAUGCUAAUUGGGUGCUCACAUUAAGUUCAACAUUGGUAUGGUGAACUUCCAGGAGGGGUGAACCAGACUAGGUUGAAAACAGAGCAGGUAAAAACUUUUGUGUUGCUUGUAGUGGAAUUGCACCUGUGAACAGCCACUGUGGUCCAGCCUGGGCAACAUAGCGAGACUCCAUCUCU
This 271-nucleotide signal recognition particle RNA is filed under the name Carlito syrichta (Philippine tarsier). RNAcentral's name for it is "Metazoan signal recognition particle RNA (ENSTSYG00000037487.1)". It matches the Rfam family "Metazoan signal recognition particle RNA". Rfam says of the family: The signal recognition particle (SRP) is a universally conserved ribonucleoprotein. It is involved in the co-translational targeting of proteins to membranes. Lineage: Eukaryota; Metazoa; Chordata; Mammalia; Primates; Tarsiidae. The record is from RNAcentral.